GUAGGUAUAGCUCAGUUGGAGAGUGUGUUUAGCAUGCAUGAGGUCCUGGGUUCAAUCCCCAAUACCUCCA
RNAcentral lists this transfer RNA (70 nucleotides) under Camelus bactrianus (Bactrian camel). It matches the Rfam family "tRNA". From Rfam's summary of the family: Transfer RNA (tRNA) molecules are approximately 80 nucleotides in length. RNAcentral also lists the same sequence under 3 other names. Lineage: Eukaryota; Metazoa; Chordata; Mammalia; Artiodactyla; Camelidae. The record is from Rfam by way of RNAcentral.